UACAGAGGUCUCAAGCGUUGUUCGGAUUCAUUGGGCGUAAAGGGCGCGUAGGCGGCGGGGUAAGUCGGGUGUGAAAUCUCAGAGCUCAACUCUGAAAUGGCACUUGAUACUGCUCUGCUAGAGGACUGGAGAGGAGAUUGGAAUUCACGGUGUAGCAGUGAAAUGCGUAGAUAUCGUGAGGAAGACCGGUGGCGAAGGCGGAUCUCUGGACAGUUCCUGACGCUGAGGCGUGAAGGCCAGGGGAGUAAACGGG
This 253-nucleotide ribosomal RNA is filed under the name uncultured bacterium. RNAcentral's name for it is "partial 16S ribosomal RNA". It matches the Rfam family "Bacterial small subunit ribosomal RNA", at positions 524 to 776 of the family's 1533-position model. The record is from RNAcentral.